This 497-nucleotide ribosomal RNA is filed under the name uncultured bacterium. RNAcentral's name for it is "partial 16S ribosomal RNA". It matches the Rfam family "Bacterial small subunit ribosomal RNA", at positions 28 to 507 of the family's 1533-position model. The record is from RNAcentral.
GAUGAACGCUGGCGGCGUGCCUAAUACAUGCAAGUCGAGCGAACAGAUGAGGAGCUUGCUCCUCUGACGUUAGCGGCGGACGGGUGAGUAACACGUGGAUAACCUACCUAUAAGACUGGGAUAACUUCGGGAAACCGGAGCUAAUACCGGAUAAUAUAUUGAACCGCAUGGUUCAAUAGUGAAAGACGGUUUUGCUGUCACUUAUAGAUGGAUCCGCGCCGGAUUAGCUAGUUGGUAAGGUAACGGCUUAUCAAGGCAACGAUGCGUAGCCGACCUGAGAGGGUGAUCGGCCACACUGGAACUGAGACACGGUCCAGACUCCUACGGGAGGCAGCAGUAGGGAAUCUUCCGCAAUGGGCGAAAGCUUGACGGAGCAACGCCGCGUGAGUGAUGAAGGUCUUCGGAUCGUAAAACUCUGUUAUUAGGGAAGAACAAAUGUGUAAGUAACUAUGCACGUCUUGACGGUACCUAAUCAGAAAGCCACGGCUAACUACGUG